CUUCUUCGGCGAAAGUGGCGAAAGGGCGAGUAAUGCAAUCGAACGUACCCCAAGGUGGAGGAUAGCCUGUGGAAACGCCGAGUAAUACCCCAUGUGCUCUACGGAGGAAAGCUUCGGCGCCUCGGGAGCGGCGAUCGUCCUAUCAGCUUGUUGGUGAGGUAAAAGCUCACCAAGGCUAAGACGGGUAGCGGGUGUGAGAGCAUGACCCGCCGCAUCGGGACUGAGACACUGCCCGGACUCCUACGGGAGGCUGCAGCGACGAAUAUUCCGCAAUGGGCGAAAGCCUGACGGAGCAAUGCCGCGUGUAGGAUGAAGCGCCUUCGGUGUGUAAACUACUGUCAGGGACUAGAACCAACGAUCAGUCCCAGAGGAAGGACCGGCUAAUUCCGUGCCAGCAGCCGCGGUAAUACGGAAGGUCCAAGCGUUAUUCGGAAUCACUGGGCUUAAAGAGUGCGCAGGCUGACUAGCAAGUGUUCUGUGAAAUCCCACGGCUCAACCGUGGAACUGCAGGGCAAACUGCUAGACUUGAGGUAGGUAGGGGAAGACGGAACUAUCGGUGGAGCGGUGAAAUGCAUAGAUAUCGAUGGGAACGCCAAUGGCGAAGGCAGUCUUCUGGGCCUUACCUUGACGCUGAUGCACGAAAGCGUGGGGAGCAAACAGGAUUAGAUACCCUGGUAGUCCACGCCGUAAACGAUGCACACUAGAUCGGGGCGGUUCUGACACCGUCCCGGUCGAAGGAAAACUGUUAAGUGUGCCGCCUGGGGAGUACGGUCGCAAGGCUAAAACUCAAAGGAAUUGACGGGGGCUCACACAAGCGGUGGAGCAUGUUGCUUAAUUCGAGGCAACGCGAAGAACCUUACCUGGGCUUGACAUGCACGGAUUAACUCCCCGAAAGGGGAGCCACGCCCUUUGGGUGGAACGUGCACAGGUGUUGCAUGGCUGUCGUCAGCUCGUGCUGUGAAGUGUCGGGUUAAGUCCCUUAACGAGCGCAACCCCUGUCGUUAGUUGCUAACGCGUAAUGUUGAGUACUCUAGCGAGACUGCCGGUGUCAAACCGGAGGAAGGUGGGGAUGACGUCAAGUCAGCGUGGCCCUUAUGUCCUGGGAUGCAAACGUGCUACAAUGGCGCGUACAGAGCGAUGCGAUGUCGCAAGGCGGAGCAAAUCGCAAAAAGCGCGCCCCAGUUCGGAUUGCAGGCUGAAAUUCGCCUGCAUGAAGUUGGAAUCGCUAGUAAUCGGGGAUCAGCUACGCCCCGGUGAAUGUGUCCCUGAGCCUUGUACACACCGCCCGUCACGUCAUGGAAGCUGGGAGUGCCCGAAGUC
This 1320-nucleotide ribosomal RNA is filed under the name uncultured prokaryote. Its description in RNAcentral is "partial 16S ribosomal RNA". It matches the Rfam family "Bacterial small subunit ribosomal RNA", at positions 81 to 1428 of the family's 1533-position model. The record is from RNAcentral.